This 683-nucleotide ribosomal RNA is filed under the name Herbiconiux sp. Its description in RNAcentral is "bacterial SSU rRNA". It matches the Rfam family "Bacterial small subunit ribosomal RNA", at positions 95 to 792 of the family's 1533-position model. Lineage: Bacteria; Bacillati; Actinomycetota; Actinomycetes; Micrococcales; Microbacteriaceae. The record is from RNAcentral.
GUGGCGAACGGGUGAGUAACACGUGAGUAACCUGCCCUUGACUCUGGGAUAAGCGCUGGAAACGGCGUCUAAUACCGGAUAUGACAACUGACGGCAUCGUCUGGUUGUGGAAAGAAUUUCGGUCAAGGAUGGACUCGCGGCCUAUCAGCUUGUUGGUGAGGUAAUGGCUCACCAAGGCGACGACGGGUAGCCGGCCUGAGAGGGUGACCGGCCACACUGGGACUGAGACACGGCCCAGACUCCUACGGGAGGCAGCAGUGGGGAAUAUUGCACAAUGGGCGCAAGCCUGAUGCAGCAACGCCGCGUGAGGGACGACGGCCUUCGGGUUGUAAACCUCUUUUAGUAGGGAAGAAGCGAAAGUGACGGUACCUGCAGAAAAAGCACCGGCUAACUACGUGCCAGCAGCCGCGGUAAUACGUAGGGUGCAAGCGUUGUCCGGAAUUAUUGGGCGUAAAGAGCUCGUAGGCGGUUUGUCGCGUCUGCUGUGAAAACUGGAGGCUCAACCUCCAGCCUGCAGUGGGUACGGGCAGACUAGAGUGCGGUAGGGGAGAUUGGAAUUCCUGGUGUAGCGGUGGAAUGCGCAGAUAUCAGGAGGAACACCGAUGGCGAAGGCAGAUCUCUGGGCCGUAACUGACGCUGAGGAGCGAAAGCAUGGGGAGCGAACAGGAUUAGAUACCCUGGUA